GCUGCUAUAGUGUAGAGGCCAAUCAUGUCGGCCUUUCACGCCGACGACAGGGGUUCGAAUCCCCUUAGCAGCA
RNAcentral lists this transfer RNA (73 nucleotides) under Methanoculleus sp. Its description in RNAcentral is "tRNA-Glu". It matches the Rfam family "tRNA". Rfam says of the family: Transfer RNA (tRNA) molecules are approximately 80 nucleotides in length. Their secondary structure includes four short double-helical elements and three loops (D, anti-codon, and T loops). Lineage: Archaea; Methanobacteriati; Methanobacteriota; Methanomicrobia; Methanomicrobiales; Methanomicrobiaceae. The record is from RNAcentral. RNAcentral also lists the same sequence under 2 other names.